This 939-nucleotide ribosomal RNA is filed under the name uncultured archaeon. RNAcentral's name for it is "bacterial SSU rRNA". It matches the Rfam family "Archaeal small subunit ribosomal RNA", at positions 108 to 1034 of the family's 1478-position model. The record is from RNAcentral.
CUUCCCCUUAGGACCGGGAUUAUCUUUGGGAAACUGAAGAUAAUACCUGGUUUUUAGGUUUAUGCCUGGAAAUGGUUUCCCUUUGAAAUGUAUUUUUCGCCCUAAGGAUAGAUCUGCGGCUGAUUAGGUCGUUGGUGGGGUAAUGGCCCACCAAGCCGAUGAUCGGUACGGGUUGUGAGAGCAAGAGCCCGGAGAUGGACCCUGAGACAAGGUUCCAGACCCUACGGGGUGCAGCAGGCGCGAAACCUCCGCAAUGUACGCAAGUGCGACGGGGGGAUCCCAAGUGUUAUUCUUAACAGAAUAACUUUUCAUUAGUGUAAAAAGCUUUUAGAAUAAGAGCUGGGCUAGACCGGUGCCAGCCGCCGCGGUAACACCGGCAGCUCAAGUGGUAGCUGUUUUUAUUGGGCCUAAAGCGUUCGUAGCCGGUUUGAUAAGUCUUUGGUGAAAGCUUGUAGCUUANCUAUAAUAAUUGCUGAAGAUACUGUCAGACUUGAAGUCGGGAGAGGUUAGAGGUACUACCGGGGUAGGGGUGAAAUCCUAUAAUCCUGGAGAGGACCACCAUGUGGCGAAGGCGUCUAACUGGAACGAUCUUGACGGUGAGUAACGAAAGCCAGGGGUCGCGAACCGGAUUAGAUAUCCGGGUAGUCGUGGCCCGUAAACGAUGUGGACUUGGUGUUGGGAUGGCCUCGAGUUGUUUCUGGUGCCGAAGGGAAGCUGUUAAGUCCACUGCCUGGGAAGUACGGUCGCCAGACUGAAACUUAAAGGAAUUGGAGCGGGAGCACCACAACGCGUGUAGCCUGGGGUUUAAUUUGGAUUGAACGCCGGACAUCUCACCGGAUUCGACAGCAGAAUGAUAAUCAGGUUGAUGACCUUAUUUGACUAGCUUGAGAGGAGGUGCAUGGCCGCCGUCAGAUCGUACUGUGAAGGGUCGUGUUAAGU